This is a long non-coding RNA of Sinocyclocheilus grahami, 702 nucleotides long. RefSeq lists it as uncharacterized. The transcript has 3 exons. The record is from RefSeq and is a predicted model, not a curated record. Lineage: Eukaryota; Metazoa; Chordata; Actinopteri; Cypriniformes; Cyprinidae.
GCUUUAUUUUAUAUUUUUAUUAUUUAUCAAAUGUGUUAUGUUUAAACACUGCUCAUAGAUAUGUGCUGGCCAAAGGCAAAUAAUAUUAUUCAUAGCGAUGGGCGGACUGUAAUGCAGAUAUAAACACCUGGUUUGAUGAUGUAAUGAAUUUGAAUAGGUAGAUUAUAAAACACUGUUACAAACAGUAAAUUCUUUCACUCAGUGCACAACGCACAUGAAUAGGGCCAGACUGAUAAUAUGAGUGGAAAUUGGUCUUGAAAUAUGCAGAAAAAUUGGACUGCUAUUAGUCUCAUUCUGACUUGCUGCGUGCUGCUCUAUCUAGUGUUUUGGAUUACUCUCUCAGAACAGUUUCACGGCAAAACUGUCAUCAUUUUAUCACCACUUGGAACUACUAGUUUGUACAAAACAGAAAAACCCAUUUACCCCACUGAGCAAGAAGUCAACAUAACACCUAUUCCGGUCCUCUAUAGGAACAAUUUUACAAAACUUCCAGUGUGGGAUUUCGAAGAUGUUUAUUUGCGAAACAAUGAAGCAAGAAGACCUACCUGUCCAAAGUCCCUUCAAAACAAAGAGGAUCCCAAGUUCAAGGAGGCGACACUUCCUGACAUUCAGCUGUGGCUGUACAAAGGUCUACUCAACAUAACAGAAUGGAAUCGAUUAGCACACUUCAACAAUCCCUUCGGCUUCAUGGAAUACAAGUAC